AAGCCUGAUCCAGCAAUGCCGCGUGUGUGAAGAAGGCCUUCGGGUUGUAAAGCACUUUUGUCCGGAAAGAAAUCAUUCUGGCUAAUCCCGGAGUGGACAAUGACGGUACCCGGAAGAAUAAGCACCCGGCUAACUACGUGCGCCAGCAGCCGCGUAAUACGUAGGGUGCGAGCGUUAAUCGGAAUUACUGGGCGUAAAGCGUGCGCAGGCGGUUUGCUAAGACCAGAUGUGAAAUCCCCGGGCUCAACCUGGGAACUGCAUUGGUGACUGGCAGGUCUAGAGUAUGGCAGAGGGGGGUGGAAUUCCACGUGUAGCAGUGAAAUGCGUAGAGAUGUGGAGGAAUACCGAUGGCGAAGGCAGCCCCCUGGGCCAAUACUGACGCUCAUGCACGAAAGCGUGGGGAGCAAACAGGAUUAGAUACCCUGGUAGUCCACGCCCUAAACGAUGUCAACUAGUUGUUGGGGAUUCAUUUCUUACGUAACGUAGCUAACGCGGAAGUUGACCGCCUGGGGAGUACGGUCGCG
This 524-nucleotide ribosomal RNA is filed under the name uncultured Burkholderia sp. RNAcentral describes it as "bacterial SSU rRNA". It matches the Rfam family "Bacterial small subunit ribosomal RNA", at positions 379 to 890 of the family's 1533-position model. Lineage: Bacteria; Pseudomonadati; Pseudomonadota; Betaproteobacteria; Burkholderiales; Burkholderiaceae. The record is from RNAcentral.